RNAcentral lists this ribosomal RNA (371 nucleotides) under uncultured bacterium. RNAcentral describes it as "bacterial SSU rRNA". It matches the Rfam family "Bacterial small subunit ribosomal RNA", at positions 526 to 896 of the family's 1533-position model. The record is from RNAcentral.
CGUAGGGUGCAGGCGUUAAUCGGAAUUACUGGGCGUAAAGCGUGCGCAGGCGGUUUCUUAAGUCAGAUGUGAAAGCCCCGGGCUUAACCUGGGAACUGCGUUUGGAACUGGGAGACUUGAGUGUGGCAGAGGGGGGUGGAAUUCCACGUGUAGCAGUGAAAUGCGUAGAUAUGUGGAGGAACACCGAUGGCGAAGGCAGCCCCCUGGGUUAACACUGACGCUCAUGCACGAAAGCGUGGGGAGCAAACAGGAUUAGAUACCCUGGUAGUCCACGCCCUAAACUAUGUCAACUGGUUGUCGGGGGAUUAACUCCCUUGGUAACGAAGCUAACGCGUGAAGUUGACCGCCUGGGGAGUACGGCCGCAAGGUUA